ACAAUAUCUAACCUCGCUCCAUCAAGUCAUCUAUUAUUCCUCUCCCUCGACCAUUCCUUGCCUACCCACAGAAAAUCUACACAAAAUUGACUGCUUAAGUUUCUUUCCUCUGUGAUUGCAAUUCCUCUUCCUCCAUCAUCGACUAUCAGGAUUACGUGCUCGCAUCCUCCUUCCGGAAACCCUCUCCCAAAGCCUCUUUCUUAUUGGAAGAUGUGCUUGAACCGAAGCAGCAGCAGCGGCGGCCUAAGCAUCCAAUUUAGAAGUAAGGAUGGAGACUCCGUUGGCAUAGGCGCAAAUGAGGCCUUUCCUCUCACAAUUGAGGCAACAACCAUCAUAAUGUAGGGACAUUGCAUUUCCCACACCUUCUUUCAACUUACUCACGUGAAACCAGCACUUUUGAUUUUGAUUAACUACUCCAAUUUCACUCCUUGCAUGCUGUUUCUGUCUGAGAAACGACAGAGUACUCUGAAAACUCGGGCCUGAAAACUAAGUGCAGAUACAACACAAGAUUAAGGAGCAAGUUAGAGAGGUUAAAGAGGCGCAUGCAGAUGGUUGCAAAGAAACCGGAUACACAAACUGCACAUAUAGUAGAGAUUCUUCGAUGUCUCGGUGAGUUUAAUUUCAUUAUGGAACCGACGUUGGAUUUCAAGGUGUCGAGAAGAUGUUUGGAGAGAGGUUCAAGCGAGGAGGAAAUGAAGAAGUCGUGGAAGGGAGUCCAAAGAGAAUAGAGCUGUUAGACCACACAAAAUGAUUUUGCUUCGAAAGAUUCUAUUUUUGAAGGCCCAUCUUGGAAAGGAUGCAGAAUUGCUUGCUCACGCUUUCAUUGGAAAUGCUUCUUCUUCUGAUGGUACCAAUAUACUUGAAACCAUUUAAAAAGCAUGGUCUUUGGACUUCUCAGAGCUGCCAGGACAGGAAAAAUACCCACAGAACAAAGUACACAUGGAGCACAAUCUACUCCAAGAUCUCACUCAUGACUGGUUUGUUAUAGUUCGAUACCCACAAAACAAUACCAAAGGAGCAAUGUCUACACAACAAAUAUCAUCUGAUGAUGAAGAAGAACCAUUGGUGUUUAAAAAGAAAACAAGGUAGCCCCGACAAAGCUUACACAACGUGUAUCAUUUGAUCAUGAAGAAAUCAAGGAGACAGAUGGCAUUACAUCCUCUGAUGAAGAACAAACUUCAAUUCAAAUCUACAUGACAAACACAUCUAAGAGAACCAGAGUUAGUGGUACGAACACCAUGAGGAAGCCAAAAAGACAGGAAAAGAAUAAAAAGUGUAAUUCUAUGUAACGCUUACAUUCCAUUUCCUGCAAUUUACAUACUAUUUUAUUUCUAAAUCAAAAGUUUAUUUUAAUUUCAAUAAAAUAUUUUAAAUCAUGUAGUAAUACAUUUUUCCCCACUCAUGCGCGAUAUGUAGUGAUACAUUUUGAGUGUCUUAACAACGAUCAUUACUAUGGUAAAGAAUUUUCGGGAAAUU
Long non-coding RNA from Lotus japonicus, 1476 nucleotides. RefSeq lists it as uncharacterized. The record is from RefSeq and is a predicted model, not a curated record. NCBI's taxonomy places the organism in Eukaryota, Viridiplantae, Streptophyta, Magnoliopsida, Fabales, Fabaceae. The transcript is spliced from 5 exons.